RNAcentral lists this ribosomal RNA (539 nucleotides) under Quadraseta brasiliensis. RNAcentral describes it as "partial small subunit ribosomal RNA". It matches the Rfam family "Eukaryotic small subunit ribosomal RNA", at positions 511 to 1045 of the family's 1831-position model. The record is from RNAcentral. Lineage: Eukaryota; Metazoa; Arthropoda; Arachnida; Trombidiformes; Trombiculidae.
CCAACGAGCGGGGGUUUUUCCCCCCCCCCCCCCAAAAAUUUUUAUAUUGGAGGGCAAGUCUGGUGCCAGCAGCCGCGGUAAUUCCAGCUCCAAUAGCGUAUAUUAAAGUUGUUGCGGUUAAAAAGCUCGUAGUUGGAUCUCAGCUCACGCUAAGUGGUCCACUUAAUGGUGGUUACUACUUAGCUGAGCAUUUUACAGAUUUGUCUCUUGAUGCUCUUCACCGAGUGUCAAGAGUGGUCUGUACGUUUACUUUGAAAAAAUUAGAGUGCUUAAAGCAGGCAACUCGCCCGAAUAAUCUUGCAUGGAAUAAUGGAAUAGGACCUUGGUUCUAUUUUGUUGGUCUCCGGAAUCUGAGGUAAUGAUUAAGAGGGACAGACGGGGGCAUUCGUAUUGCGCCGCUAGAGGUGAAAUUCUUGGACCGGCGCAAGACGAACUACAGCGAAAGCAUUUGCCAAGAAUGUUUUCAUUAAUCAAGAACGAAAGUUAGAGGUUCGAAGGCGAUCAGAUACCGCCCUAGUUCUAACCAUAAACGAUGCCAA